Molecule: ribosomal RNA, 484 nt
Filed under: uncultured bacterium
Lineage: Bacteria
Description: partial 16S ribosomal RNA
Rfam family: Bacterial small subunit ribosomal RNA
Source: RNAcentral
AUUGAACGCUGGCGGCAGGCCUAACACAUGCAAGUCGAGCGGAUGAAGGGAGCUUGCUCCUGGAUUCAGCGGCGGACGGGUGAGUAAUGCCUAGGAAUCUGCCUGGUAGUGGGGGAUAACGUCCGGAAACGGGCGCUAAUACCGCAUACGUCCUGAGGGAGAAAGUGGGGGAUCUUCGGACCUCACGCUAUCAGAUGAGCCUAGGUCGGAUUAGCUAGUUGGUGGGGUAAAGGCCUACCAAGGCGACGAUCCGUAACUGGUCUGAGAGGAUGAUCAGUCACAAUGGAAGUGAGACAACGUCCAGACUUCUAAGGGAAGGCGCAGUGGGGGAUAUUGGGCAAUGGGCGAAAGCCUGAUCCAGCCAUGCCGCGUGUGUGAAGAAGGUCUUCGGAUUGUAAAGCACUUUAAGUUGGGAGGAAGGGCAGUAAGUUAAUACCUUGCUGUUUUGACGUUACCAACAGAAUAAGCACCGGCUAACUUCGUG